Molecule: long non-coding RNA, 1157 nt
Organism: Poecilia latipinna (sailfin molly)
Lineage: Eukaryota; Metazoa; Chordata; Actinopteri; Cyprinodontiformes; Poeciliidae
Exons: 2
Source: RefSeq, a predicted model, not a curated record
UGCAGAUGCAAACUUUUUAUUGGUAACCAGGGUACAAUUAUAAUCAAUUUUAUUUUCUCACGGUAGAAAAUGUUGAGUACAACAAAAAAUAUUUGUCUUUUAUACCAAACUUUUAUAAUAAUAGAGACUUUUACUGUUGUGCCUAAAUCAACUUUGAUUUGGCGUAUUGGCUAAACAUGUCAGCUGCUGUUCUUGUAACUGAAUAAAUUUGUUCUUCAGGUCCAAAAGGAUUUGAAAACCAGAUUAAAUUUCCUUUAAUACAGAAAAUGAGUAAAAUUAUUUGGAAGUUUUGGAUCUAUAAUGAAUAAAAUCCCUUUAGAUUCUCUAGUAUUAUUGUUUCUUUUUCCCUUUCUUUUAGUUUCACUGUUGUCUUGAUGAUUUUGGCCCACUCUGCGUCCACUGAAAACAGAAAAUCUUACCAAGUAUCUUUGUCUGGUUUCUCGUGGGUCGUUAAGUCGCCUCUCAUUGUCGGUUUGGUAGAAUAACUUCUUUCAUCAUGCAGCGAUAACUGGUUGUAUGCUAACAACACGCUAGCUAAAGUUAAGAUGACAAGAUAAAUGCGGGUAACCAUGGUAACCAGUUUAAACGCGGCCCGGUUCUUUCUGCAGUCAAGUAGCGCGUCCAUCCGCCGUGUUUGCAAACAAAUAGUCCGUCUGUCUGUCUCGCUGCAACUUAAUGAAGGUUAAAGCAGAAGUCCUUGGUCAGACUGUUUCUGCAGCGUCCCUCUCUCUGCCCUGCGGACAACAGGGACGCGUCCAGCUGGAGGAAAAUCUAAUCAGGCUGAAUGCUCCGUCUCUUCUCAACACUGCGCUUUUAUGGCUGGGACCAGACGAGCCCCAGAAACGCCGCCUGUGUGGCUGUCUGGCUCCGAGUGUGAGAUCUAUGUUGACUUCAUCCGUAAUGGCCGCUGGCGGACAGACGAGGCAGUGUGCCGGGAUGAGCGGAGCUGCCGGCCGGUCGGCGUGCGGAUGACACGGUCCUGAGUCGAGGCGCUGCGUGACUCGGUUCUGUUCGGUUCGGUUCUAUCAGCAGCACCUGUGGUUAAAACAGAAAGGAAGGAAAACGGAUUUGAUUCUGCAACAUGAGUUCAAGUUAGAGGAAACUCGGAGAUAAGGUUCUGUUACGGUGCAGCUGUGCUUUUAAAUGUUUCUUUUUCA